AGCUUGCUCCCUGAUGUUAGCGGCGGACGGGUGAGUAACACGUGGGUAACCUGCCUGUAAGACUGGGAUAACUCCGGGAAACCGGGGCUAAUACCGGAUGGUUGUUUGAACCGCAUGGUUCAAACAUAAAAGGUGGCUUCGGCUACCACUUACAGAUGGACCCGCGGCGCAUUAGCUAGUUGGUGAGGUAACGGCUCACCAAGGCGACGAUGCGUAGCCGACCUGAGAGGGUGAUCGGCCACACUGGGACUGAGACACGGCCCAGACUCCUACGGGAGGCAGCAGUAGGGAAUCUUCCGCAAUGGACGAAAGUCUGACGGAGCAACGCCGCGUGAGUGAUGAAGGUUUUCGGAUCGUAAAGCUCUGUUGUUAGGGAAGAACAAGUACCGUUCGAAUAGGGCGGUACCUUGACGGUACCUAACCAGAAAGCCACGGCUAACUACGUGCCAGCAGCCGCGGUAAUACGUAGGUGGCAAGCGUUGUCCGGAAUUAUUGGGCGUAAAGGGCUCGCAGGCGGUUUCUUAAGUCUGAUGUGAAAGCCCCCGGCUCAACCGGGGAGGGUCAUUGGAAACUGGGGAACUUGAGUGCAGAAGAGGAGAGUGGAAUUCCACGUGUAGCGGUGAAAUGCGUAGAGAUGUGGAGGAACACCAGUGGCGAAGGCGACUCUCUGGUCUGUAACUGACGCUGAGGAGCGAAAGCGUGGGGAGCGAACAGGAUUAGAUACCCUGGUAGUCCACGCCGUAAACGAUGAGUGCUAAGUGUUAGGGGGUUUCCGCCCCUUAGUGCUGCAGCUAACGCAUUAAGCACUCCGCCUGGGGAGUACGGUCGCAAGACUGAAACUCAAAGGAAUUGACGGGGGCCCGCACAAGCGGUGGAGCAGGUGGUUUAAUUCGAAGCAACGCGAAGAACCUUACCAGGUCUUGACAUCCUCUGACAAUCCUA
This 942-nucleotide ribosomal RNA is filed under the name Bacillus subtilis subsp. subtilis. Its description in RNAcentral is "bacterial SSU rRNA". It matches the Rfam family "Bacterial small subunit ribosomal RNA", at positions 77 to 1002 of the family's 1533-position model. Lineage: Bacteria; Bacillati; Bacillota; Bacilli; Caryophanales; Bacillaceae. The record is from RNAcentral.